This is a long non-coding RNA of Bufo gargarizans (Asiatic toad), 1260 nucleotides long. RefSeq lists it as uncharacterized. The record is from RefSeq and is a predicted model, not a curated record. The transcript is spliced from 3 exons. NCBI's taxonomy places the organism in Eukaryota, Metazoa, Chordata, Amphibia, Anura, Bufonidae.
GCCUGAGAAGCAGGAAGUUAUCAGGACAUUUACUGCUGGGCAGCGAUCCCCCACUCACGGGUUCAUGGACCAGUACCAUGCCAUGGAUCAUCUGGCACCGGUUAGUGGGGAGCGCUGGAGUUAAACAGCCUACGAGGCAGUGCUGAUAUCAUUGCAACCUCCUGUGCCAGGUCACAGACGACAUGAGAAUGUCAUCACGCCGCCAGAGGCCGGGGACAGAAGAGGCCUGCAUCGCAGACAGCGAAAGUUUAAAAAAACACGGCAUGGAAAAUAAAAGCGUGCUCCUUCUUGCUGCAAAGUCACAUCCAAAGUUCCCAGGAUCAAAAAACGCAUUUUGAAGCAGAUUCCACAUCAGGUUUUUACAGCACAGAAAAAAUAAAAAUAAAACGCUCAACAGGCAAAAAACAAUCAUUCCCUUUGGGCAUGGUUCUCACCUGCUCGUUUCACAGCGCGUACGAACUCGCUGUAAAACGCCUUACGCCCAAAGGAGUACAGGAACUUCUUUGGGGCGUAUUGUCGCGCGUUCGCAUCCAUAGACUCCAACGGGAAAGCGGCAAAAUGGACGUCUCCUCUGUACAUAAACACACAGGAAAAGAUGAUGGUGCUCCGCAGGAAGUCUCUUUCAUUGGACACCUCAGUGGUCAAUCGCAAGAACGCUCGUACGAUGCGUGUUUCCUAUUUCCAAAAAUUUACUGUAAUACGCCCCGAAAACGUCCGACAAAAAUGCACGUAUCAAAUACACUCAAGUGUGAACCAGGCUAUAUGUAAGAAACCUGCCUGAAAACUAUCUGAAAAACGUGCAUACAUCUGCGAUUCUGCGCUAUUUAUUGAGAUUAGACUACACGGAGCGAGCCUACGUGUACAUGAGCUCUGGAAAAUCUCCUUCACUUUGCUGGUUCUGUAAUAAACUGCACAGAAAAAACCGUGUGUAAUGUGAACAUACCCUUACCACCAAUUCAGAUUGGUGAUCCUAUACAAACGGGCACAGACCUGGCACUGCCAGCUUCCCACACUUCUCAUACAGUAUGAGGGAAGAUUACAGAAGUGCACCUCUCAUCGGACAGGGCAGAAGCCUGGCAUCGCCUUGGUAACCCAACAGUGAUAGCUGGUGACCACCCAGACAACAGAGGCCGCAUGGCAACUGCGUGGUCACAGUAAACAACAUGCAGCCAUGAGAGAGGACAAGACUGUCGGCAGAGACAGCCAUGAGAGAGGACAUGACAGCCGGCAGAGACAGCCAUGAGAGGACCGGCAGAGACA